This 497-nucleotide ribosomal RNA is filed under the name uncultured bacterium. RNAcentral describes it as "partial 16S ribosomal RNA". It matches the Rfam family "Bacterial small subunit ribosomal RNA", at positions 28 to 507 of the family's 1533-position model. The record is from RNAcentral.
GAUGAACGCUGGCGGCGUGCCUAAUACAUGCAAGUCGAGCGAACAGACGAGGAGCUUGCUCCUCUGACGUUAGCGGCGGACGGGUGAGUAACACGUGGAUAACCUGCCUAUAAGACUGGGAUAACUUCGGGAAACCGGAGCUAAUACCGGAUAAUAUAUUGAACCGCAUGGUUCAAUAGUGAAAGACGGUUUUGCUGUCACUUAUAGAUGGAUCCGCGCUGCAUUAGCUAGUUGUUAAGGUAACGGCUUACGAAGGCUACGAGGCGUAGCCGAACUGAGAGGGUGAUCGCCCACACUGGAACUGAGACACGGUCCAGACUCCUACGGGAGGCAGCAGUAGGGAAUCUUCCGCAAUGGGCGAAAGCCUGACGGAGCAACGCCGCGUGAGUGAUGAAGGUCUUCGGAUCGUAAAACUCUGUUAUUAGGGAAGAACAAAUGUGUAAGUAACUAUGCACGUAUUGACGGUACCUAAUCAGAAAGCCACGGCUAACUACGUG